This is a non-coding RNA of Podospora fimiseda, 101 nucleotides long. The record is from the annotation of a GenBank genome assembly. NCBI's taxonomy places the organism in Eukaryota, Fungi, Ascomycota, Sordariomycetes, Sordariales, Podosporaceae.
GCCCGAUUAGCUCAGCUGGUUAGAGCGUCGUACUAAUAUAACUGAAGACGGUUAUAAAUAGUCAAAUGCGAAGGUCAACAGUUCAAUCCUGUUAUUGGGCA